Non-coding RNA from Pelobates cultripes (western spadefoot toad), 316 nucleotides. NCBI's taxonomy places the organism in Eukaryota, Metazoa, Chordata, Amphibia, Anura, Pelobatidae. The record is from the annotation of a GenBank genome assembly.
GUAUUACAAUUAUCGCCCUGUUUAGCUGCCAGUGUUUAACUCCAUUUCCUAUUUUACAGUCUAUGACUUAAGUUUAAAUGAACAGUAAAAUGGCUAUAUAUUAGAGUAGUUCAAAAAUAAUACCAAUUUAAGGAACUUUCAUCUGUUAGUAAACUACAACUCCCAUGAACCUUUGCUAUCAGUCUGCUUUGUUUUUGACCAUCACAAGUUUCAUAGGAGUGUUACUUCGUUAAUGUUUUGAAGGCUAGUAAUAAUUACACAUCCCUAGAGUGGUUCAUCACCAUGUCAUGUUAUUCAAUCUUCCUGUGAUUACCAG